This 358-nucleotide unclassified non-coding RNA is filed under the name soil metagenome. Its description in RNAcentral is "partial contains 5.8S ribosomal RNA, internal transcribed spacer 2, and large subunit ribosomal RNA". The stretch from base 1 to 120 matches the Rfam family "5.8S ribosomal RNA", at positions 35 to 154 of the family's 154-position model. The record is from RNAcentral.
GAUGAAGAACGUAGCGAAAUGCGAUAAGUAAUGUGAAUUGCAGAAUUCAGUGAAUCAUCGAAUCUUUGAACGCACAUUGCGCCCGUCAGUAUUCUGGCGGGCAUGCCUGUUCGAGCGUCAUUACGCCCCUCAAGUCCCCUGUGGACUUGGUGUUGGGGAUCGGCGAGGCUGGUUUUCCAGCACAGCCGUCCCUUAAAUUAAUUGGCGGUCUCGCCGUGGCCCUCCUCUGCGCAGUAGUAAAACACUCGCAACAGGAGCCCGGCGCGGUCCACUGCCGUAAAACCCCCCAACUUUCCAAGGUUGACCUCAGAUCAGGUAGGAAUACCCGCUGAACUUAAGCAUAUCAAUAAGCGGAGGA